Branchiostoma floridae (Florida lancelet) is the source of this 294-nucleotide long non-coding RNA. RefSeq lists it as uncharacterized. The record is from RefSeq and is a predicted model, not a curated record. NCBI's taxonomy places the organism in Eukaryota, Metazoa, Chordata, Leptocardii, Amphioxiformes, Branchiostomatidae. The transcript has 3 exons.
UCGGUCCUUACAAAGAUUUUAAGCCAGAAAUUUGUAGAAAGGAUGGAUUUUUUAGCGGUGUUUUUUCUCCUCGUCUUGGCUGUUUUGCCGUUUUCGUUCGGGCAGGGUCCAGAGCAACGUACACCGGAGUUGGCAACGAGAGGUCCAAACCUGUGUGAAUACAUCAACCCAGUGAGUAACGAUACAGAGUACCGGUGUUGUGACGAAUGGCAACAGUACGGACACUUCUGCAUCGUGGGCGCCUGUGACUCGUCAGUAGCGACCCUAUGUCACACCGUAGGACAAGUCUGCGUC